RNAcentral lists this ribosomal RNA (113 nucleotides) under Pteropus alecto (black flying fox). The record is from RNAcentral. Lineage: Eukaryota; Metazoa; Chordata; Mammalia; Chiroptera; Pteropodidae.
AAGUGCGCCACCCUGAACAAGCCCGAUCCUGUCUGAUCUCAGAAGCUAAGCAGGGUUGGGCAUGGUUAGUACUUGGAUGGUAGACCACCGAGGAAGACCAGGUGCUGCAGGUG